CUGGCUCAGGAYGAACGCUGGCGGCAUGCCUAAUACAUGCAAGUCGAACGGAGGUGCUUGCACCUCAGUGGCGAACGGGUGAGUAACACGUAUCUAAUCUACCUUCUAGCGGGGGAUAACUUUUGGAAACGAAAGGUAAUACCGCAUGUGGAUGUUAUUAUCGCAUGAGAAAACAUUCAAAGAUCCGUUUGGAUCACUAGAAGAUGAGGAUGCGGCGUAUUAGCUAGUAGGCGGGGUAAAGGCCCACCUAGGCGAUGAUACGUAGCCGAACUGAGAGGUUGAUCGGCCACAUUGGGACUGAGAUACGGCCCAGACUCCUACGGGAGGCAGCAGUAGGGAAUUUUUCACAAUGGACGAAAGUCUGAUGAAGCAAUGCCGCGUGAGUGAUGACGGCCUUCGGGUUGUAAAGCUCUGUUGUAAGGGAAGAAAACAUAGGAGAGGAAAUGCUCUUAUCUUGACGGUACCUUACCAGAAAGCCACGGCUAACUAUGUGCCAGCAGCCGCGGUAAUACAUAGGUGGCAAGCGUUAUCCGGAUUUAUUGGGCGUAUAGGGUGCGUAGGCGGUUUCGCAAGUUUGAGGUUAAAGCCCGGAGCUCAACUCCGGUUCGCCUUGAAAACUGCGGGACUAGAAUAUCAGAGAGGUAAGCGGAAUUCCAUGUGUAGCGGUAAAAUGCGUAGAUAUAUGGAAGAACACCAGUGGCGAAAGCGGCUUACUGGCUGAUUAUUGACGCUGAGGCACGAAAGCGUGGGGAGCAAAUAGGAUUAGAUACCCUAGUAGUCCACGCCGUAAACGUUGAGUACUAAGUAUUGGGGAUUACCUCAGUGCUGCAGCUAACGCAUUAAGUACUCCGCCUGAGUAGUAUGCUCGCAAGAGUGAAACUCAAAGGAAUUGACGGGGACCCGCACAAGUGGUGGAGCAUGUGGUUUAAUUCGAAGCAACACGAAGAACCUUACCAGGGCUUGACAUACAGUGCAAAGCUACAGAGAUGUAGUGGAGGUUAACAUUGAUACAGGUGGUGCAUGGUUGUCGUCAGUUCGUGCCGUGAGGUGUUGGGUUAAGUCCCGCAACGAACGCAACCCUUGUCGUUAGUUACUAACAUUAAGUUGAGGACUCUAACGAGACUGCUAGUGUAAGCUAGAGGAAGGUGGGGAUGACGUCAAAUCAUCAUGCCCCUUAUGUCCUGGGCUACACACGUGCUACAAUGGCCGAUACAAAGAGUCGCAAUCUCGCGAGGGGGAGCUAAUCUCAAAAAGUCGGUCUCAGUUCGGAUUGAAGUCUGCAACUCGACUUCAUGAAGCCGGAAUCACUAGUAAUCGCGAAUCAGCUAUGUCGCGGUGAAUACGUUCUCGGGUCUUGUACACACCGCCCGUCAAACCACGAGAGUUGGUAAUACCAGAAGUACGUUUCCUAACCGUAAGGAAGGCGCGUCCCAAGGUAGGACUAGCGAUUGGGGUUAAGUCGUAACAAGGUAUCCGUACGGGAACGUGCGGAUGGAUCAC
This 1500-nucleotide ribosomal RNA is filed under the name Mesoplasma florum. RNAcentral describes it as "bacterial SSU rRNA". It matches the Rfam family "Bacterial small subunit ribosomal RNA". RNAcentral also lists the same sequence under 1 other name. Lineage: Bacteria; Bacillati; Mycoplasmatota; Mollicutes; Entomoplasmatales; Entomoplasmataceae. The record is from RNAcentral.